AGUUCGAUCAUGUGGGUGAACGCUGGCGCGGGAUGUUUACGCUGCAAGUCGAACGGCAGCACGGACUUCGGUCUGGUGGCGAGUGGCGAACGGGUGAGUAAUGUAUCGGAACGUGCCUAGUAGCGGGGAUAACUACGCGAAAGCGUAGCUAAUGCCACAUACGCCCUUCGGGGGAAAGCGGGGACCUUCGGGCACUCUCUUUAUUAGAGCGGCCGAUAUCGGAUUAGCUAGUUGGUGGGGUAACGGCUCACCAAGGCGACGAUCGUAGCUGGUUUGAGAGGACGACCAGCCACGCAGGACUGAGACACGGCCCAGACUCCUGCGGGAGGCAGCGGUGAUGGAGAAUUUUGGACAAUGGGGAAACCUGAAUCCAGCCAUCCGCGUGUGCGAUGAAGGCCUUCGGGUUGUAAAGCACUUUUGGCAGAAAGAAACGGCACGGGAUAAUACCCCGUGCAACUGACGGUACCUGCAGAAUGGCACCGGCUAACUACGUGCCAGCAGCCGCGGUAAUACGGCAGGGUGCAAGCGUUAAUCGGAAUUACUGGGCGUAAAGCGUGCGCAGGCGGUUCGGAAAGAAGAUCUUGAAAUCCCAGAGCUUAACUUUGGAACUGCAUUUUUAACUACCGAGCUAGAGAGUGUGUCAGAGGUGGAAUUCGUGUAGCAGUGAAAUGCGUAGAUAUGCGGAGGAACACCGAUAGCGAGAGCAGCCUCCUGGGAUAACACUGACGCUCAUGCACGAAAGCGUGGGGAGCAAACAGGAUUAGAUACCCUGGUAGUCCACGCCCUAAACGAUGUCAACUAGCUGUUGGGGCCUUCGGGCCUUGGUAGCGCAACUAACGCGUGAAGUUGACCGCCUGGGAAAUACGGUCGCAAGAUUAAACUCAAAGGAAUUGACGGGGACCCGCACAAGCGGUGGAUGAUGUGGAUUAAUUCGAUACGAAAAACCUUACCUACCACUUGACAUGUCUGGAAUCGAAGAGAUUUGGGAGUGCUCGCAAGAGAACCGGAACACAGGUGCUGCAUGGCUGUCGUCAGCUCGUGUCGUGAGAUGUUGGGUUAAGUCCCGCAACGAGCGCAACCCUUGUCAUUGAAUUGCUACGAAAAGGGCACUCUAAUGAGACUGCCGGUGACAAACCGGAGGAAGGUGGGGAUGACGUCAAGUCCUCAUGGCCCUUAUGGGUAGGGCUUCACACGUCCUUUACAAUGGUCGGGACAGAGGUCACCAACCCGCGAGGGGAGCCAAUCCCAGAAGCGAUCACGUAGUCCGGAUCGCAGUCUGCAACUCGACUGCGCGUGAAGUCGGAAUCGCUAAUCGCGGAUCAGCAUGUCGCGGUGAAUACGUCCCAGGUCUUGUACACACCGCCCGUCACACCAUGGGAGUGGGCUUUACCAGAAGUAGUUAGCCUAACCGUAAGGAGGGCUGAUUACCACGGUAGGAUUCAUGACUGGGGUGAAAUUCGCGUAACAAAGGUAA
This 1474-nucleotide ribosomal RNA is filed under the name uncultured Bordetella sp. RNAcentral's name for it is "partial 16S-23S ribosomal RNA intergenic spacer". It matches the Rfam family "Bacterial small subunit ribosomal RNA". Lineage: Bacteria; Pseudomonadati; Pseudomonadota; Betaproteobacteria; Burkholderiales; Alcaligenaceae. The record is from RNAcentral.